AUAUAUAUUUUAACUGUUCCCAAAACUUUCUACCACUUUGGGAAAUGAGAAGUCAAAUUCCACAGGGAAUGUUCACUCACAUAAUCACAACACUAGGCCGAUUCAGAUUUAAUAAGGGAUAAGAACAGACCCAAAGAAAUCAGUUGGACGUGAGCAAGUAAACUAAAUGAUUUCUUCCUGAUUUCAAUGGUCUCCUCUAAUUUUUGAUAGGAUCCAUUAGCGUGUGGUUCAAGAGUUGUUGAUACAAGGGGGAAGAGUUCAGCCAUCUCUUUAAAGAUAAUAGAUGGUAAAAUAUGUUUUCUCUCCUUCUUCUUUUGCAGAGGUAUGAAUAAGACAUGAAGGAGACCCUUUGUUGUUGUUUCAAAGGCCACAUCAACAUUUCUACAAAGGAAUCCCAAGGGUCUUGUUGCCACUUCACUCUCUGAUGAAGCAGAUUAGCUGCCUCACUAGGUGACAUCAUAGAGUAACUAGUUGAAAACAGCACUUCAAGGGCUCCUUUAAAAAAUAUAGGAAGAAUUAAGUGAGUCUGUCUCGUUUAAUUUCAUUUAAUUUAAGUGAUCCUCUGAACUGCAUUCCUUUGCACUAGCAGUGAGCUAGGAGCCAUGCUGACUGAUUAAUGCUUGGCUGUUUGAAGUAUACUCUUUUCUUAUCUGGUCCUGUGCAGGCCUCAUGAAAGCCCGGGGAGACCUGCUGGUAAGUCAGACCUCAGGGAGAUUUUUGUCUGCUGCAUCCUGAGGAGGAGGAUGAAGAAGAGAUAAAUGGCAGGCCGUACAACAGAAAACAAAAUGAAAACCUGUUGCCCUUUGAAAAAAUUAAAGACAUUCUAAAGCUUAUUGACAACGGGAAGAAAUCAACCGAUCACACAGAGCGGCAGCGUCUCUGUCUUCUAUAUGACUUCAAUGAUGCCCCAUUCUGACCUCAGCAGAUGUAACUUCAAUGGCCAUGCAAGGAAUUCCAUGGCUGGCAAGAAGCAGAGAAGUCAACAAGUGAAUGAUCAACUCUCUUCCCUGCAUAGAUCAAUACAGGAAAGGGGUAAUGGUAACCAUGUGCUUGUGACCAAUUUAAUAGACUGAAAGAGACCCAAUUCUGCUUCUCCAGAUGGCUAUAAAUCCUGGGGAUUAUCUCGAAUUUCCUGCAAACUUUGAAGUGUCCCUCAAUUUGUUUUCAUAUGGAGGAAAGUCAGGUUGAGGGCAGGUAUUCUUAAUACUUAGAAGAAGUCCUCAUGUGUUAUGAAGACUGGCAGUACUGGAAUGAGAACAGGAGUUAUUUUACUAGUGUAGACAAGCCCUUAGUUAAGAGAUGGUGGCUUAUUUUUGAGUGAGAAGUUCCCUUACUUUGAUUCAGAACUAUUUCACUCAUGCAUAUUCCUUGAAUAAUUUAAUAUCAGCUGUUGACUUCCAUAUGUGAAUCUACAACAGAAAAAUGCCAUAUGCAUAACUCCUUGUUCACAUCACCUAAAACACAAUAUGUUUUAAUGGAAUAAAUGCCAACAAUCAAGUAGCAUUUCCUAUUUCAGUAGUAAUAUAUGGACGCAGAUAUAACAGCUAAGCUUGUAAACUAACUUGAAUUUUGGAAUGCCACUUCAAAACAAUCUGCCUCUUAGAAUUUACUAGUUCUCCAAAAGAGUAUAACAAAAUAAUAAUGUUGCUACCAUUGACCUAGCAUGAUUUUCUAUUCAGGACAUAUUUUGCUUUUCACAUCAAAGUUUCAAAUACUGAAUGAAUAGUUCUUUGCUUCAGAAAUUCUGAGAGAAGGAAAGAAAACCUGCUAUCAAAUAAAUCUUCAAGAGCCUGACACCCUUAUUAUUUCCACAUAAUUUCUUAUUCCAAUUCUUAAAUUUAAAAUAUGCCAAACUACUGCUUGGGAGAACCAAGGUAAGUAGAAUUUAACAAUACUCAGGGCUAAAUGUCAUACCUUUUGGUGUUCAACAAUGAAGGGAUUAAACUUCUUACUAUAAAAGCAGAGUGCCAGAUCAAAGCCUAACA
Long non-coding RNA from Anolis carolinensis (green anole), 1985 nucleotides. The record is from Ensembl. Lineage: Eukaryota; Metazoa; Chordata; Lepidosauria; Squamata; Anolidae.